This 509-nucleotide ribosomal RNA is filed under the name uncultured symbiont bacterium of Aplysina cavernicola. RNAcentral describes it as "bacterial SSU rRNA". It matches the Rfam family "Bacterial small subunit ribosomal RNA", at positions 370 to 873 of the family's 1533-position model. The record is from RNAcentral.
CAUGGGUGAAGCCUGACCCAGCGUGCCGCGUGAGGGAUGAAGGCCUUCGGGUUGUAAACCUCUGUCAGGAGGGACGAUGGGACACUUGUGUUUUGACGGUACCUCCACAGGAAGCCCCGGCUAACUCCGUGCCAGCAGCCGCGGUAAUACGGAGGGGGCAAGCGUUGCUCGGAAUUACUGGGCGUAAAGGGUCCGCAGGCUGUCGNGGCAAGUUGGUUGUGAAAGCUCAAGGCUUAACCUUGGAAUUGCAUCCAAAACUGCCUGGCUAGAGUCCAAGAGAGGUUGGCGGAAUUCCCGGUGUAGCGGUGAAAUGCAUAGAUAUCGGGAGGAACACCAGAGGCGAAGGCGGCCAACUGGCUUGGAACUGACGCUCAGGGACGAAAGCGUGGGUAGCAAACCGGAUUAGAUACCCGGGUAGUCCNCGCCCUAAACGAUGGAUGCUAGGUAGGGGGAAUUUAUUUCUCCCUGCCGCAGUUAACGCAUUAAGUUCCCGCCUAGGAGACGGAGCU